This 6073-nucleotide long non-coding RNA is filed under the name Olea europaea subsp. europaea. Lineage: Eukaryota; Viridiplantae; Streptophyta; Magnoliopsida; Lamiales; Oleaceae. The record is from RNAcentral.
GUCGUAUCCAUUAGGGUGAUCGGGACGGGUCGUGUCAAUUGGUAUCAGAGCAUGGUUAUAAAGUCAGUUUGCAUGGUUUACUUAAAUUUUGUUCUCAUCAUAUCAUACAUAUUUUGUAGUUGGAAGUCAUGGCUCGUGGUAAUAAGACACGCAGGCUCCAAGAUAUGUCGUCUCAACCACCAGCUGCUCCUGAUAGGGAUGCCAGUAGGGUCGAGGAAUCAGUUCAUCCGACCUAUGAUCAGCGGAGAUAUGGGGAUGUAGCCCAGCCUGACUUAAUAGCUGAUAGGAUUGCCACUGCUGUUGCUUCUGCUCUACGCAAUACAGAUAAAGAUUAUAGUAUAGAGCGGGCUACUAAAUUAGGAGCUAAAGUAUUUACAGGCACAGCUGAUCCAGUAGAUGCAGAAUCGUGGAUGGUGAGGAUAGAAAGAAUAUUUGAUGUCAUGGAUUGCCCUGAUGAUCGAAAAUUACGAUUAGCUACCUUCUUGUUAGAAGGAAGUGCUUAUGAUUGGUGGAAAUCCGUACAGGGUAAAUAUGUUGAUCCUUCUGUGAUCACGUGGGGCGAGUUUAAAGAUGAUUUUAAUGAGCAUUUCUACCCUCGUUCUUAUAAGACUGACAAACAGAAUGAAUUUUUGAGACUAGUACAGACAUCAACAGUGGCAGAGUAUCAGAAGAAAUUUCUAGAAUUGUCAAAGUAUGCUGCUGCUCUGGUAGCUGAUGAAGUUGAUAAAUGCAGAAGAUUUGAGUAUGGCCUGAAAGAAGAAAUUAGAUCAGUGGUGACUGCAUCUGGGUAUGAAAAUUUGGGUAAACUUGUAGAAGCAGCAUUAAGGGUUGAGAAAAGUUUGUCUGAACGACAUGGUAGUCAACAACAAAUGAGACUGGGAAUUGGAAGCAGUAGUCAGUCAUGGGCAGGAAGAUCUAUGAUUAGGCCAUCGAGGAGGGAUCGCAGAGGAGGUGGAUUAGGUAUUUCCACUUCUGGUAGUUUUAAGUCCAGAUCUCAUGGCAGUCAGGGCUCGAGGUCGAGUCAGGGAUCAGUACAGCAGCCAGGGAGUAACCGUACUCAGACUCAGAGAUCUUCUCAGAGAUCAUUUACUCCUGGACAGAGUGAUAGCUCUGGUGUGGCCAGAUUUCCCCAGUGUCAGUUGUGUGGGAAAUUUCACCCUGGUGAGUGUCUUAAGGGAAUUGGAGUGUGUUAUCAUUGUGGUCAGACGGGACACAUGAGGAGAGAGUGUCCAGUUCGUUUCCAGCAGGGUAGCAUACCACAGGGGGUUUCCUUACAGUCAGGUGCUGGCAUUGCUAGACAGAAUCAGAAUCAGAAUAUUUUGGCAGGCAAAGCAGGUGCUACUAGUGCUACUCAGUCUGAUGCUGCUGGCAGCAGUGGUACUAGACAGAAAAGCCAGGUUGGACGACCCAAAACUCAGGGAAGAGUGUUUGCAGUGACACAGCAUGAUGCCGAUGAGUCACCAGAUGUGGUUAUGGGUACGUUAUCUAUUUUUGGCAAGAAGGCUCGUUCUUUAAUAGAUUCAGGUGCUACACAUUCAUUUAUAUCUUAUGCAUUUGCUAUUUAUGCGGACCAUAUGUCAGAAUCAUUAGAUAGUGAUUUGGUGGUAGCAACUCCUGUAGGAGAUUCACUUUUAGCUAACAGUGUGUACAAAGAUUGCGUGAUUAGUGUGAAUGAUCAUGAGUUGAAAGCUAAUUUGAUUCCACUUGAUAUUCAUGAUUUUGAUGUGAUAUUGGGCAUGGAUUUUUUGUCUGUGAAUCAUGCAUCAGUUGAUUGUUUUCGCAAAGAAGUGGUGUUUCGAAGGCCAGGAGAGCCUGAAAUCAUUUUUAGUGGUGAACGGAGAAUACUACCUUCAUGUAUCAUAUCAGCACUUGAUGCUGGGAGAUUGCUUAGAAAAGGUUGCCAAGCAUAUUUAGCUCAUGUGAUUGACACUCAGAUCACUAAAUUGAAACUUGAAGAUAUACCAGUGGCAAAAGAUUUCCCUGAUGUUUUUCCUGAAGAUCUUCCAGGGUUACCUCCUGAUAGGGAAAUCGAGUUUACUAUUGAUUUGAUUCCAGGGACUACCCCUAUUUCACAAUCACCUUACAGAAUGGCUCCAGCAGAGUUGAAGGAAUUGAAAGUUCAGUUGCAGGAUUUAGUUGAUAAGGGUUUCAUUAGACCCAGUGUAUCUCCAUGGGGAGCUCCAGUCUUGUUUGUGAAGAAGAAAGAUGGCACAAUGAGAUUGUGUGUUGACUACAGACAGUUGAAUAAAGUGACAGUUCGCAACAAGUAUCCGUUGCCUCGCAUUGAUGAUUUGUUUGACCAACUUAGAGGUGCCUCAGUGUUUUCGAAAAUUGAUUUACGUUCAGGUUAUCAUCAGCUCAGAAUUAGAGAUGUUGAUGUACCGAAGACUGCUUUUCGGUCACGGUAUGGCCAUUAUGAGUUUUUGGUGAUGCCAUUUGGGUUAACUAAUGCCCCUGCAGCGUUUAUGGAUUUGAUGAAUAGAGUGCUUCGCCCAUAUUUAGACAGAUUUGUGAUUGUUUUUAUUGAUGAUAUCUUAGUUUAUUCUCGCAGUAGGGAUGAGCAUGCUGAGCAUUUGAGGAUUAUUUUGCAAACCUUGCGAGAUAAGCAGUUGUAUGCUAAGUUCAGCAAAUGUGAAUUUUGGCUGGAUAAAGUUGUAUUUUUAGGUCAUGUUAUCUCAGCUGAAGGUAUUUAUGUAGAUCCUCAGAAAAUUGAAGCAGUAAUGAAAUGGGAACGCCCUACUAAUGUUACAGAAGUACGGAGUUUUCUUGGGUUAGCAGGUUAUUAUCGUCGAUUUGUAGAGCAUUUUUCCAAAAUUGCUCUUCCUUUGACUAGUUUGACUCGAAAGAACUCCAAAUUUGUGUGGACUGAUGAAUGUGAAAAGAGUUUUCAAGAGUUGAAGAAAAGAUUAGUUUCUGCUCCUAUACUUACUCUUCCAUCUCCAGGUGAGGAGUUUGUGAUUUAUAGUGAUGCUUCACGCCAAGGAUUGGGUUGUGUUUUAAUGCAAAAUGGGAAAGUUGUAGCUUAUGCUUCAAGACAAUUGAAGAAGCAUGAGUUAAAUUACCCAACUCAUGAUUUGGAGUUAGCUGCAGUAGUGUUGGCAUUGAAGAUUUGGAGACAUUAUCUUUAUGGUGAGAAAUGUCAAAUAUUUACUGAUCACAAAAGUUUAAAGUAUAUAUUUGAUCAGAAAGAACUGAAUCUAAGGCAAAGGAGAUGGCUGGAGUUGAUAAAGGAUUAUGAUUGUAACAUUGACUACCAUCCGGGGAAAGCAAAUGUAGUUGCAGAUGCUCUCAGUAGAAAGACAAGUUCAGCUUCUCCAUCAAGUGCAGUUUAUGCUUCUUUGAUUUGUGAGUUCAAGAAGUUACACACUGAGUUGACAACUACUACUUCAGGGGCAAUAUUAGCUCAUUUUCAGGUGAGGCCUACUUUGAUUGAUAAGGUUAGAGAAGCUCAAUCUCAAGACCAGACAUUGAGAAUAUUGAAAGCAGAAGUUAGUACUGGGUUAAGAACGGAUUAUGUGAUUAGAGAUGAUGGGGCGUUGGCUAUGGGUAAUAGAUUAUGUGUUCCAGAUAUUCCAGAAUUGAAGAAAGAGAUUUUGGAAGAAGCNUGGAGUUGAUAAAGGAUUAUGAUUGUAAGAUUGACUACCAUCCGGGGAAAGCAAAUGUAGUUGCAGAUGCUCUCAGUAGAAAGACAAGUUCAUCUUCUCCAUCAAGUGCAGUUUAUGCUUCUUUGAUUUGUGAGUUCAAGAAGUUACACACUGAGUUGACAACUACUACUUUAGGGGCAAUAUUAGCUCAUUUUCAGGUGAGGCCUACUUGGAUUGAUAAGGUUAGAGAAGCUCAAUCUCAAGACCAGACAUUGAGAAUGUUGAAAGCAGAAGUUAGUACUGGGUUAAGAACGGAUUAUAUGAUUAGAGAUGAUGGGGCGCUGGCUAUGGGUAACAGAUUAUGUGUCCCAAAUAUUCCAGAAUUGAAGAAAGAGAUUUUGGAGGAAACCCACAGUUCUGCUUAUGCUAUGCAUCCAGGCAGUAUUAAAAUGUAUCAUACAUUGAAGGAUCAUUAUUGGUGGCUUGGUAUGAAGAAAGAGAUAGCAGAUUUUGUAUCCAAAUGUCUUAUAUGUCAACAGGUAAAGCCAGUUCGUCAGAAAACAGCAGGACUUUUACAGCCAUUGCCAUCCCAGAAUGGAAAUGGGAACACAUUACUAUGGACUUUUUAUUUGGUCUUCCUCGUACUCAAAAUGGUCAUGAUGGAGUUUGGGUGAUUGUCGAUCGUUUGACCAAAACUGCCAAGUUCUUGCCGAUCAAAGCCACUUAUACUUUAAAUAAGUUGGCAAAGUUGUAUGUGGAUGAAAUAGUGAGCUCUUAUGGUACUCCCUUAUCUAUUGUGUCAAAUAGAGACCCUCGUUUUACAUCUAAAUUUUGGCCCAGUUUGCAGGAAGCCAUGGGUACUAAACUACAUUUCAGUACAGCUUUUCAUCCUCAGACAGAUGGCCAGUCAGAGAGGACCAUACAGACUCUUGAGGAUAUGUUGAGGGCUUGUGUUUUAGAGCUAAAGGGUAGUUGGGAUACUCAUUUGUCAUUGAUGGAGUUUGCUUACAAUAACAGUUAUCACUCUAGUAUAGAAAUGGCUCCUUUUGAAGCUUUAUAUGGUCGGAAGUGCAGGACACCAGUUUGUUGGGAUGAAGAUGGUAAGAGGAAGUUAAAAGGCCCGGAAUUGGUUGAAAUGACAUCUGAAAAUGUGAAAUUGAUUAAAGAAAAGUUGAAAGCAGCUCAUGAUAGACAGAAAAGUUAUGCGGAUAAGCGCAGGAAAGACCUUGAAUUUGCAGUAGGAGAUAAAGUUUUUCUUAAAUUAUCUCCUUGGAAAGGGGUGUUGAGAUUUGGCAAGCGAGGAAAGUUGAGUCCACGAUAUAUUGGACCUUAUGAGAUUAUUGAGCGGAUUGGUCCAGUUGCAUAUCGAUUAGAUCUGCCCAAUGAAUUAUCCCGGAUCCAUGAUGUUUUUCAUGUUUCCAUGCUUCGCAAGUACAUUGCUGAUCCUUCUCAUGUUCUGGAGUCUCAGCCAAUUCAGUUGAAGGAGAAUUUGACUUAUAUAGCAGAACCAGUGAAAAUUUUGGACAAGAAAGUGCAAACUCAACAAAACCAGACAAUUUCACUUGUUAAAGUACUUUGGCAGAAUCAUACAGUAGAAGAGGCUACAUGGGAGAAUGAGGAUCAGAUGCGUGCUCAAUAUCCUCGUUUAUUCAUUGCCUAGUCAGUUGCCAGUUGAAUUUCGAGGACGAAAUUCUUUUAAGGAGGUAAGAUUGUUACAACCCACAUUUUUAUCUAGUCAAAGUCAAUAGUGGAAUUUUCAAAGUCAAGUCCAAUGAGGACUUGUAUGAAAUAAAUCAUUUUUAUUGGGACUUGAUUGACCAAAUCAUUUUAUUUGGGUUUAUUUUGCAAUUGGCAAAAUAUAAAGGCUGAAUUGGAUAUAUUUAAAAGUUUGGAAUUUAUAUAUAUACUUUUGGAAGUUUAAGGAUUAAAGGUUACUAAAAAGUAAAGUUAAGGGACUUAAUUUGCAAUUAUGGGAUUGUGGACAAUUAAUUCAACCUUUGACCCAUUUUUUUUCUCAUUUUCACACCAAAACACACACACCCCCUACGAGAAGCAGAACCAGCCGAGAAAGAAGAGAAAAAGAGGAAAAGAAAAAGGGAAAAAAGGAAAAGAAAAAGGAAGAAGAAGGGGAAAAAGAAAAGGAAAGGAGGUAAGGUUGAUAUCUUCAAGUUGGGUUAAAUUUUUUCAUUUGUCUUAGAUGAUUAAGUAUGGUUUAUAUUAAAAUUUUUAGGGUUUUAUCAUGUAAUAAUAAAAUGUUAAAUUUAUGUGAUAUAUGUACGAUUUGGAGCUCAAGCUUAGGGAUUAAUUAUGUUUCAGUUUUAACAAGGUGUUUAGGCAAUGAAAAUUUUGGAAACCCUAGAAUCCGAUUUUGGGGAUUUUAAUUAAUUAAUUGUGGAAGUGAUUAUAUAAAUGGAAUAUUUCAUUUGGGAGUUGAUUUUAAGGAGCAAAUGUAUAUUAGAUGGGUGGAAAUUAUGGUCACUAGUUUCAUU